UGGGGAAUAUUGCACAAUGGAGGGAACUCUGAUGCAGCGACGCCGCGUGAGUGAUGAAGGAAUUCGUUUCGUAAAACUCUGUUCUAUGGGAAGAAAAGGACUGUACCAUAGGAGAAAGUUCCGGCUAAAUACGUGCCAGCAGCCGCGGUAAUACGUAUGGAGCGAGCGUUUUCCGGAAUUAUUGGGCGUAAAGGGUGCGCAGGCGGCUUUACAAGUUGGAUGUGAAAUAUUGUGGCUCAACCACAAACGUGCAUCCAAAACUGGAAAGCUUGAGUUAAGGAGAGGUAAGUGGAAUUCCUGGUAUAGCGAUGGAAUGCGUAGAUAACAGUAGGAAUACCGGUGGCGAAGGUGACUUACUGGGCUUAAUCUAUCAAUCAGGCACGAAAGAGUGGGGAGCAAACAGG
RNAcentral lists this ribosomal RNA (404 nucleotides) under Fusobacteriota bacterium. RNAcentral describes it as "Fusobacteria bacterium partial 16S ribosomal RNA". It matches the Rfam family "Bacterial small subunit ribosomal RNA", at positions 355 to 776 of the family's 1533-position model. Lineage: Bacteria; Fusobacteriati; Fusobacteriota. The record is from RNAcentral.